This is a non-coding RNA of Ceratotherium simum simum (southern white rhinoceros), 114 nucleotides long. NCBI's taxonomy places the organism in Eukaryota, Metazoa, Chordata, Mammalia, Perissodactyla, Rhinocerotidae. The record is from RefSeq and is a predicted model, not a curated record.
GUUUCCAGGAAUAUAUCCGUUUCUUCUAGUUUAUCCAAUUUGUUGGUGUAUAAAGAUUCAUAGUAUUCUCAUAAUCCUUUUUAUCUCUGUGAUGUCGAUUGUACUUUCUCCACU